Molecule: ribosomal RNA, 512 nt
Filed under: uncultured archaeon
Lineage: Archaea
Description: bacterial SSU rRNA
Rfam family: Archaeal small subunit ribosomal RNA
Source: RNAcentral
AGUGGUGAUCGUGAUUAUUGGGUCUAAAGGGUCCGUAGCGGUUUGGUCAGUCCUCCGGGAAAUCUGAUAGCUCAACUAUUAGGCGUUUCGGGGGAUACUGCCAGACUUGGAACCGGGAGAGGUAAGAGGUACUACAGGGGUAGGAGUGAAAUUCUUGUAAUCCCUGUGGGACCACCUGUGGCGAAGGCGUCUUACCAGAACGGGUUCGACGGUGAGGGACGAAAGCUGGGGGCACGAACCGGAUUAGAUACCCGGGUAGUCCCAGCCGUAAACGAUGCUCGCUAGGUGUCAGGCAUGGCGCGACCGUGUCUGGUGCCGCAGGGAAGCCGUGAAGCGAGCCACCUGGGAAGUACGGCCGCAAGGCUGAAACUUAAAGGAAUUGGCGGGGGAGCACAACAACGGGUGGAGCCUGCGGUUUAAUUGGACUCAACGCCGGACAACUCACCGGGGGCGACAGCAAUAUGUAGGCCAAGCUGAAGACUUUGCCUGAAUCGCUGAGGGGUGGUGCAUGG